UGAGCCAAGUUUAGGGUUUCUUAAAAACCCAAGCAGUAUUGAACUGAAGAGUUUGAUCAUGGCUCAGAUUGAACGCUGGCGGCAGGCCUAACACAUGCAAGUCGAGCGGAUGACGGGAGCUUGCUCCUUGAUUCAGCGGC
Molecule: ribosomal RNA, 140 nt
Filed under: Pseudomonas putida
Lineage: Bacteria; Pseudomonadati; Pseudomonadota; Gammaproteobacteria; Pseudomonadales; Pseudomonadaceae
Description: partial 16S ribosomal RNA
Rfam family: Bacterial small subunit ribosomal RNA (bases 41-140)
Source: RNAcentral